This 500-nucleotide ribosomal RNA is filed under the name Francisella tularensis subsp. holarctica. RNAcentral's name for it is "bacterial SSU rRNA". It matches the Rfam family "Bacterial small subunit ribosomal RNA", at positions 507 to 1003 of the family's 1533-position model. The record is from RNAcentral. Lineage: Bacteria; Pseudomonadati; Pseudomonadota; Gammaproteobacteria; Thiotrichales; Francisellaceae.
GCCAGCAGCCGCGGUAAUACGGGGGGUGCAAGCGUUAAUCGGAAUUACUGGGCGUAAAGGGUCUGUAGGUGGUUUGUUAAGUCAGAUGUGAAAGCCCAGGGCUCAACCUUGGAACUGCAUUUGAUACUGGCAAACUAGAGUACGGUAGAGGAAUGGGGAAUUUCUGGUGUAGCGGUGAAAUGCGUAGAGAUCAGAAGGAACACCAAUGGCGAAGGCAACAUUCUGGACCGAUACUGACACUGAGGGACGAAAGCGUGGGGAUCAAACAGGAUUAGAUACCCUGGUAGUCCACGCUGUAAACGAUGAGUACUAGCUGUUGGAGUCGGUGUAAAGGCUCUAGUGGCGCAGCUAACGCGAUAAGUACUCCGCCUGGGGACUACGGCCGCAAGGCUAAAACUCAAAGGAAUUGACGGGGACCCGCACAAGCGGUGGAGCAUGUGGUUUAAUUCGAUGCAACGCGAAGAACCUUACCUGGUCUUGACAUCCUGCGAACUUUCUAG